AGUUAAAACUGUUAACCUAACCUUAAAGAGACAAAAGAGAGAAAACAUUCUGCCAAGGGCCAAAUUAUUAUCAGGUAGGAGUGCAGGUGUGCCUGCAAUCCAACUCCUCCCUAGUAGUAAAUAUUCCGUUCACCGCAUUGAAGAGCCAAACAGCUAAUGGUGUAGAUUACAGAGAUCACACGUGGUAUAUGACAAAUGACAUAAAAAACAAAGCAUGGUCCACCCUAGUGGCUGAUGAAGUAAACAGGUGGACACCUAGAUAUGGCACUACUCCAUCUGCUCGACAUCAUCAAAAGGUUCUGAGAAUGCGAAAGAUUGAAACUGGGAUAUUAUUGAAAGUAAAUUUAAUCGCUGAAUCUCUAAUACCCCCCAUCUAUCUAUCUAGCAUUGAACAACCAAAAGGUAGUCGUACCACAUGUUGGGGUUUUUAUUUGUGGGCGCGUAGCUUUGGGUAUGAUCCAAAAUUCCCAAUAACACUCUGUGAGACUAAUCAUAUUAGUGCAACAGCGUCAUCAGUUUCUCCAGGGGCUGCUGCAAAAGGAGUGAUGCUUGUGGGUUAAAAUGCUAAAUCUGAUGAUUGGUGCAAAAUAGCAACAGGAAUUUCAGGUACUAGUAACAAUUGGUUGGUAGUGGUAGAGCAGGCAGCAAAUACAACCAAAAGAGAUUGUGUAAUAUGCAUGGGCCCAAGAACACUACUGAACGUAGUUCCAGCCUCAAUUCCUAAACUGUGCGUAACAAAUGUCAUGAACAGAACUAACCCAAAUGAUGCCUGUAAAGAAUGCGACACAAUAUUUCCUCUUACUACAGUGAACCAAAAGAAACCAUUGUUUUCUAAAAAAGUAGCACAUGGAAAUUUCACCUGUAUAAGCAUGACAGGAAAAGGCCAGACACUAGGAAAUCUAUCUAAAACAUGGUGUUUAACCAUUAUAACAGUAAGUCCUUAUUUUAACCCCCUAGCAAGAAGCGACAUCUGGUGGUGGUGUGGAGAUGACAGUUUUGUUUGAUAAAUUACCAAGAAAUGCUAUCGGGUAUUGUGCUUUAGUUACUUUGUUACUGCCUGUGUCUGUGGUCCCCAUGAAAGUCGAAGAUCUAAUCUCUCAGUUAUCUAGUGUGGUUCCUGAAACAUGGAAAAGAAAUAAAAGAUCAAUAUGGCAAGGUGAAGCAAAUCCAACUUAUAUAGACGCCAUCGGCAUCCCUCGUGGGGUCCAUAAUAAGUAUAAAUUAGCAAAUCAAAUAGCUGCAGGUUUUGAAUCGAUUAUCUGCUGGUGGUGCACGAGCAAUAAAAAUGUAGACAGGAUCAAUUACAUCCACUACAACAUCCAGAGAUUAGGUAAUUGGACAAAAGCGGUUUUGAAGCAGUACACGAUCAGUUAGCUGCAACUUCUCUGCUGGCUUUCCAGAACAGAAUAGCUCUCGACAUGCUGCUGGCAGAAAAAGGAGGUGUUUGUGCUAUUUUUGGAGAACAGUGCUGCACAUUCAUUCCUAACAACACCGCUGCUGAUGGUAGCCUGACCAAGGCUAUAGAGGGUCUGCGCACUCUCAAUAAGAAGAUGAAAGAGCAUUCUGGGAUAGACACUACCAUGUGGGAUCACUAGUUGGACGUGUUUGGGAAGUAUAAAACACUGGUCGCAUCAAUUGUAGUUUCCAUUGCAGUGUUUACUGCUAUUCUGGUAUUGUGUGGAUGUUGUUUUAUUCCCUGUCUGCGUUCUUUGUUGAAUUGUCUCAUUACUACAGCAAUUUCACCCAUGGAGGACAAAAUGGCACAGAUGUAUCCCCUAUUAGCCCACGAUGACAAUGAUGAAAACAACAGUGAGGAGCCAGAAAGCCUGCAGAAAGCAGAGAAAUGUGUUGUGACGAUAAGUGUUUUUCUAAAUAUGUCUGAAACUGUGAUGAACUGUAUUUGGAGUGCUUAUGUAUAAAUGUACUGUGUGGACUGCUUAGUAUUAUCUCUGUGUUCCUAAGGUCACAGAGUGUUUUGCUUAUCCCUACCCCUUAGCUUGACAAUGUAACCAGGGUUUCCCUAAUAAAAGCAAGGAGGGGACAGAGUGUCUUCAGAGCGAGUUUGGAGAUCUGUAUUAAGCGUCUAAGCUCCUCUCCUUGCAAGAUUUAUGAAAACUAA
This is a long non-coding RNA of Fundulus heteroclitus (mummichog), 2119 nucleotides long. RefSeq lists it as uncharacterized. NCBI's taxonomy places the organism in Eukaryota, Metazoa, Chordata, Actinopteri, Cyprinodontiformes, Fundulidae. The record is from RefSeq and is a predicted model, not a curated record. The transcript is spliced from 2 exons.